Molecule: ribosomal RNA, 1744 nt
Filed under: Aeromonas veronii
Lineage: Bacteria; Pseudomonadati; Pseudomonadota; Gammaproteobacteria; Aeromonadales; Aeromonadaceae
Description: partial 23S ribosomal RNA
Rfam family: Bacterial large subunit ribosomal RNA
Source: RNAcentral
UGAGUGGUAGGGGAGCGUUCUGUAAGUCUGCGAAGGUGUAUCGAGAGGUAUGCUGGAGAUAUCAGAAGUGCGAAUGCUGACGUAAGUAACGAUAAAGGGGGUGAAAAGCCUCCUCGCCGGAAGACCAAGGGUUCCUGUCCAACGUUAAUCGGGGCAGGGUGAGUCGACCCCUAAGGCGAGGCCGAAAGGCGUAGUCGAUGGGAAGCAGGUUAAUAUUCCUGCACGACUUGUAAUUGCGAUGGGGGGACGGAGAAGGCUAGGUGGGCCAGGCGACGGUUGUCCUGGUGAAAGUGCGUAGGUGGUGUUUGUAGGCAAAUCCGCAGACACAACGCUGAGACACGAGACGAACACACUACGGUGUGGAAGCCAUUGAUGCCCUGCUUCCAGGAAAAGCCUCUAAGCUUCAGAUUACAAGUCAUCGUACCCCAAACCGACACAGGUGGUCGGGUAGAGAAUACCAAGGCGCUUGAGAGAACUCGGGUGAAGGAACUAGGCAAAAUAGAACCGUAACUUCGGGAGAAGGUUCGCUCUUGACAGUGAAGUCCCUUGCGGAUGGAGCAGUUGGGAGUCGCAGUGACCAGAUGGCUGGGACUGUUUAUCAAAAACACAGCACUCUGCAAACACGAAAGUGGACGUAUAGGGUGUGACACCUGCCCGGUGCCGGAAGGUUAAUUGAUGGGGUUAGCGCAAGCGAAGCUCUUGAUCGAAGCCCCGGUAAACGGCGGCCGUAACUAUAACGGUCCUAAGGUAGCGAAAUUCCUUGUCGGGUAAGUUCCGACCUGCACGAAUGGUGUAACCAUGGCCAUGCUGUCUCCACCCGAGACUCAGUGAAAUCGAAUUCGCCGUGAAGAUGCGGUGUACCCGCGGCUAGACGGAAAGACCCCGUGAACCUUUACUACAGCUUGGCACUGAACAUUGAACCUACAUGUGUAGGAUAGGUGGGAGGCUUUGAAGGCGUGACGCCAGUUGCGCUGGAGCCGUCCUUGAAAUACCACCCUUGUAUGUUUGAUGUUCUAACGCAGGGCCCUGAAUCGGGCUCGCGGACAGUGCCUGGUGGGUAGUUUGACUGGGGCGGUCUCCUCCCAAAGAGUAACGGAGGAGCACGAAGGUUGGCUAAUCCUGGUCGGACAUCAGGAGGUUAGUGCAAUGGCAUAAGCCAGCUUAACUGCGAGACGGACAGGUCGAGCAGGUACGAAAGUAGGUCAUAGUGAUCCGGUGGUUCUGAAUGGAAGGGCCAUCGCUCAACGGAUAAAAGGUACUCCGGGGAUAACAGGCUGAUACCGCCCAAGAGUUCAUAUCGACGGCGGUGUUUGGCACCUCGAUGUCGGCUCAUCACAUCCUGGGGCUGAAGUCGGUCCCAAGGGUAUGGCUGUUCGCCAUUUAAAGUGGUACGCGAGCUGGGUUCAGAACGUCGUGAGACAGUUCGGUCCCUAUCUGCCGUGGGCGUUGGAUGAUUGAAGGGAGUUGCUCCUAGUACGAGAGGACCGGAGUGAACGAACCUCUGGUGUUCGGGUUGUCACGCCAGUGGCACUGCCCGGUAGCUAAGUUCGGAAUCGAUAACCGCUGAAAGCAUCUAAGCGGGAAGCGAGCCCUGAGAUGAGUCAUCCCUGACCCCUUGAGGGUCCUAAAGGGCCGUUGGAGACCACAACGUUGAUAGGUGGGGUGUGUAAGCGCGGUGACGUGUUGAGCUAACCCAUACUAAUUACCCGUGAGGCUUAACCAUACAACACCCAAGAAGUGUUCU